Pan troglodytes (chimpanzee) is the source of this 677-nucleotide long non-coding RNA. RefSeq lists it as uncharacterized. NCBI's taxonomy places the organism in Eukaryota, Metazoa, Chordata, Mammalia, Primates, Hominidae. The record is from RefSeq and is a predicted model, not a curated record. The transcript has 3 exons.
AUCAGAGAGAGGGGAGUUUCAUUUAUGCAGGGAAGGAAAGAAGUGGGUGGUGUUGGCUCUGCACAUUGGAGGAAGAAAUGCACAGAGCCAGAGAAGACUUGAGCAGGGCUGGAGGCUGACAGGAAGGAGUUACUGCAGCUGGGAGAGAGGAAUGGGCUUACUGAUGGAGCACCAACCUGCUGGAGGUCAACCGUCAACUGCUGAAUCCAUAACAGUGCUUGAACACAGAACAUCUCACUUAACUCUUAGCACAAUCCUUAAGGAUGGAUCCUUCCUUUUCCUCUCGGUGCCUGGGGCUGGGGAAUGAAGUGUCCUCUGCCUGAGGAGGUGGAGUGGAGGCCUUCGUUUUAAGACCAGGGUUCUGAUUACACCUGACAGGGCCGAAACUUGAUGCCCACAGAGCUUACUGAUAUCUUAUCUUCUUCCACUAGCCAGGAUUACAGCAGGAAUGUAACAGAAGUUUUCACUGAUUCAGUUUGUGUAUGCUUAGUAUGUAAACAAAAAAGCAAAAACAAAAACAAAAUUCUUUUUUGUCCUCCUUGAAAUUAGCUCCAGAGAGAGUUCUUUCCAUCUUUUUAAAAAUAUUGGUCAACAUAAAGAGUUUUGUUCUCAAGGCUAAAUCUUAAUGCUCCUGCAGAGAGUCUCAUAGUUCAAGAAUAAUCACAUUUAAUAAAAAG